This 465-nucleotide ribosomal RNA is filed under the name Vreelandella stevensii. RNAcentral describes it as "partial 16S ribosomal RNA". It matches the Rfam family "Bacterial small subunit ribosomal RNA", at positions 338 to 795 of the family's 1533-position model. Lineage: Bacteria; Pseudomonadati; Pseudomonadota; Gammaproteobacteria; Oceanospirillales; Halomonadaceae. The record is from RNAcentral.
CCUACGGGAGGCUGCAGUGGGGAAUAUUGGACAAUGGGCGAAAGCCUGAUCCAGCCAUGCCGCGUGUGUGAAGAAGGCCUUCGGGUUGUAAAGCACUUUCAGUGGGGAAGAAAGCCUUGGGGCUAAUACCCUCGAGGAAGGACAUCACCCACAGAAGAAGCACCGGCUAACUCCGUGCCAGCAGCCGCGGUAAUACGGAGGGUGCGAGCGUUAAUCGGAAUUACUGGGCGUAAAGCGCGCGUAGGCGGUCUGAUAAGCCGGUUGUGAAAGCCCCGGGCUCAACCUGGGAACGGCAUCCGGAACUGUCAGGCUAGAGUGCAGGAGAGGAAGGUAGAAUUCCCGGUGUAGCGGUGAAAUGCGUAGAAAUCGGGAGGAAUACCAGUGGCGAAGGCGGCCUUCUGGACUGACACUGACGCUGAGGUGCGAAAGCGUGGGUAGCAAACAGGAUUAGAUACCCUAGUAGUC